RNAcentral lists this ribosomal RNA (500 nucleotides) under uncultured bacterium. RNAcentral's name for it is "partial 16S ribosomal RNA". It matches the Rfam family "Bacterial small subunit ribosomal RNA", at positions 29 to 523 of the family's 1533-position model. The record is from RNAcentral.
AUUGAACGCUGGCGGCAUGCCUUACACAUGCAAGUCGAACGGCAGCGCGGACUUCGGUCUGGCGGCGAGUGGCGAACGGGUGAGUAAUACAUCGGAACGUACCCUGUUGUGGGGGAUAACUAGUCGAAAGAUUAGCUAAUACCGCAUACGACCUGAGGGUGAAAGUGGGGGACCGCAAGGCCUCACGCAGCAGGAGCGGCCGAUGUCUGAUUAGCUAGUUGGUGGGGUAAAGGCCCACCAAGGCGACGAUCAGUAGCUGGGCUGAGAGGACGAUCAGCCACACUGGGACAGAGACACGGCCCAGACUCCUACGGGAGACAGCAGUGGGGAAUUUUGGACAAUGGGGGCAACCCUGAUCCAGCAAUGCCGCGUGUGUGAAGAAGGCCUUCGGGUUGUAAAGCACUUUUGUCCGGAAAGAAAUCGCGCUGGUUAAUACCUGGCGUGGAUGACGGUACCGGAAGAAUAAGCACCGGCUAACUACGUGCCAGCAGCCGCAGUAA